AUGGGGCAGACGCGCAACCAAGCUGCGGUGGCAGGCAGCUACAGAGAAACUGGAAGCCGAUCUCAAAGUAAUGAAGGAGGAUAUUUCUGGCUUCAGGAAGCGGCGGCAGACAGCAAGGAUAUUCGUGCACAGAUGAUUACUAUUGACACUCUUGAUUCUUUGAUGCAGAAGUACCUAGGCACACAAAAUUCACACUCUGAAGCCACUGUGACUGAAACAGAAGAACGGCUCAAGGUGGGUUCCCUGGUAUUCAUACUAUUCAGCCCAACGGAUUACAUGUGCCAGGCCAUUUUCAAAUUCCACCUAUUGUACAGCCAAAUCUAUACGUCUUUGAUAAUUUCGAACAACAAUCUGCUCCUAUGGUUUGGCCUCCUAAUACUGUUCCACAACUGGCUUGUAAUUCAAACAACCCUCCUGUACCUCCACAUCAUUUUAGUCAUGUCACUGGACAUUUCUUCCUCCACCACCUGUCAUUGUUGGAGUUCAACAGCAAAAACCUAUGUUCAGUAA
This 510-nucleotide ribosomal RNA is filed under the name Triticum aestivum (bread wheat). Its description in RNAcentral is "partial small subunit ribosomal RNA". Lineage: Eukaryota; Viridiplantae; Streptophyta; Magnoliopsida; Poales; Poaceae. The record is from RNAcentral.